Molecule: ribosomal RNA, 480 nt
Filed under: Enterobacter cloacae
Lineage: Bacteria; Pseudomonadati; Pseudomonadota; Gammaproteobacteria; Enterobacterales; Enterobacteriaceae
Also listed under: 1 other name
Description: partial 23S ribosomal RNA
Rfam family: Bacterial large subunit ribosomal RNA
Source: RNAcentral
GGUUAAGCGACUAAGCGUACACGGUGGAUGCCCUGGCAGUCAGAGGCGAUGAAGGACGUGCUAAACUGCGAAAAGCGCCGGCGAGGUGAUAUGAACCUUUGACCCGGCGAUGUCCGAAUGGGGAAACCCAGUGCAAUCCGUUGCACUAUCGUUAACUGAAUACAUAGGUUAACGAGGCGAACCGGGGGAACUGAAACAUCUAAGUACCCCGAGGAAAAGAAAUCAACCGAGAUUCCCCCAGUAGCGGCGAGCGAACGGGGAGCAGCCCGGAGUCUGAAUCAGCUUGUGUGUUAGUGGAACGGUCUGGAAAGUCCGACGGUACAGGGUGAUAGUCCCGUACACGAAAGCACACAUGCUGUGAACUCGAAGAGUAGGGCGGGACACGUGGUAUCCUGUCUGAAUAUGGGGGGACCAUCCUCCAAGGCUAAAUACUCCUGACUGACCGAUAGUGAACCAGUACCGUGAGGGAAAGGCGAAAAG